Helianthus annuus (common sunflower) is the source of this 3098-nucleotide RNA transcript. It is a transcript of the gene named pentatricopeptide repeat-containing protein At3g42630, with no coding region annotated. Lineage: Eukaryota; Viridiplantae; Streptophyta; Magnoliopsida; Asterales; Asteraceae. The record is from RefSeq and is a predicted model, not a curated record. The transcript is spliced from 3 exons.
AGACCGGACAUCACCUAAAACCAGACCCACAAAUCUUUUAUCUGAGUCUGAUACCCGCCUCGUACCCAUAAAUUUUUAUUCAAUCUCAAUACUCAAAUAUCCUAUCCGGAUAUUUUUUUUUUUGAGUACUCCGGUCAAACUUGGGUUUUUUUAGUAUUCUCAAUCGGGGUCAGGCUUUGGGUUUUUUUUUUCGAGUGAGCAGAGCUAAUUUUGGGUUUUGAAAGGGGAUAAAUUUUGAGGUUUUGUGACGACCGAAGAAGAAAUUUAUUAUGCAUUUGUAGUGUAGCAGAUAAGUCAAUAAUCCAUCCCCUUUGUUCCCAUAACCUUGUAGCCGCCAUCAUCUUGUCAAAAAAUUGCUUUACCUUGGACUCCAACUUCAACAUCCCGAUUCUUUUCUGCCUUUUCAAGUUUCAAUUUGUUUCCUCACGGUUCAAUUAAUCAAAACCCUAAUCCCCAAACAACAAGAACAAGAACUACAAUUGUUUUGCUGCAGAUUCCUCCUAUCAAACCCUUCUUCGUAAACCAUAUAAAUUUCAGCUUCUUACAAAAUGAUUUAAGCCUCUUAUUGAUUGAUACAGAUAUGGGAGCUAUCUCAGUUGUCUCUGCAACUCUUCCUCUUGAAACCAAAUUGAUUGGUUUAAAGGCAGUAUGCACCCAUAACACUACAGCCUCAGCUCCAAAGGCAGACCGUAAACGAUACAGAAAUUCUAAGAAGGCUGGCAACCCUAAAGAUCGUGCGCCUAUUAUUCGUAGUUUAAGCAAAAAGGGAUCACCCCAUAUUGCUAAUGAACUUGUUCCCAGAUUGCAAGCUGAGGGUUUUCUUCUCGACGAUUCUACCUGGACGGCUUUGAUGUUGUACUACGCCAAUAAUGGAUUUUUCACUCAGGCAGAUGCAUUAUGGAACACAAUCAUAAACAGUGCGUAUAAUCUCGAUAUUCGUGUAGUUUCGGAACUAAUUGAUGCUUAUAUUGGAGCGGGGCUUUUUCACGAAGUAAUCAGAAUUGUACAACAAAUUAGUAUUAGGCAUCCUCACUUACAACAUCAAGUUUAUGUGCAUACAAUAUCUUGUUUCGGUAAGGUUGGAGAGCUUGAGCUAAUGGAUUAUACGUUGAAGGAAAUGAUCUCAAAGGGAUAUCCCGUUGAUUCUUCUAUAGGUAAUGCUUAUAUUGUGUAUCACAGUCGUUUUGGUUCGAUAACCAUGAUGGAACAUGCUUACAAGCGUCUAAAAAGUUCAAGAUUUUUAAUCGAAGAAGACGGGAUUAGGGCGGUUUCUGAUGCUUAUAUACGGGAUAAAAAGUUUCAUAAUUUGGGCAACUUUUUACGGGAAGUGGGUCUCGGUAGAAGAAAUGCUGGAAAUCUUCUUUGGAAUUUAUUACUGUUGUCGUACGCGGCCAAUUUCAAAAUGAAGAGUUUGCAAAGAGAGUUUUUAAAUAUGGUGGAAGCGGGAUUUGAUCCCGAUCUCACUACAUUUAAUAUUCGAGCUGCGGCUUUCUCGAAGAUGUCGUUGUUUUGGGAUCUCCAUUUAAGUCUUGAGCAUAUGAAUCAUAAUGGAAUUAUCCCGGAUCUUGUCACUUAUGGGUGUGUUGUUGAUGCGUAUUUGGAUAGAAGAUUGGGGAGAAAUUUGGAUUUUGCUUUACGGAAAAUGAACGUGAAAGAUUCUCCGGUUGUUUUGACCGACCCGAUUCUGUUUGAGGUGUUGGGAAAAGGGGAUUUUCAUUCUAGCUCAGAGGCACUUUUGGAAUUUAACAUGCGGAAAACAUGGACUUAUAAGGAAUUGAUUGCGAUAUAUGUGAAGAAAAAGUAUCGGAGUAAUCAAAUAUUUUGGAAUUACUGACGGAUUAUGGAAGAAGAUAAAUGCGCUUUUUAGUCAGCCAUUGAAGAAUGUGAUUGAUGAAAGAUCCUGGGUGACCUAAAUGACAGAAACACCCCUUCUCACCAAAGUAUCUUGUUUUGUGGUCUCCUCAACAUGCAAGCGAAAGUGAAAAUGCUGAAGCCCUUCUGGAAUUUCGCCACGGAAAUGAUUGUUUGCGAAAUUUGCAACAGUCAAUCUUCCCGGAGCAAAGUUUGGGAUUCCACCCUCGAAUUCAUUUCCUUGGAGCAUCAACUCUUUUAGCUUAGGCAAUGUUGUCAAUGACGCAGGGAUCUGGCCGAUGAGGUUGUUAUUCGCUAGAUCUAUCUUCUCGAGCCAUUUCAGACCCUUGAAAGCAUUGGCCGGAAUUUCACUAGAAAACUUGUUAUUCGACAAAAGGAUUUCUCGUAUUCCAUCAAGCAUUCCGAAAUCAGGGAAGGCACCCUUCAAGUUAUUGUUGUUGAAACUUAUGCUGACCAAUGAUGACAAUUCGGAUAACAUAUCGGUGUCAAUGUUACCUCCCAGCGCCUUGUUGUCUAGUUUUAUGCCCGAAACAGACCCAUUGGUGCAAAGAAGGCCUUCCCAAUUGGCUGUAUUAUUUUUAUUAUUAUCACAUGGGCUCUUGGUGGGAAUCCAGGUGGUUAACUUGUCGCCAUUGAUAAGGGAUUCCUUAAACUUGAUGAGCGUUUGUGAAUCUGAACCUUUGACAAGGUGGAUGAUUGAGACAAUGAGGAGGAGGACAAGGAAACGACCUGACAUGGAACAAGAGGAGAGCACUGGUGCGCGCACAUGUACGUACAAGUGCGCGCCCAUUGAAAGGGCUAUUGUAGAAGGCAAUGGCGGCUGUCGUCGGAGUUACAGAAGAGAUGGAAAGGUAAUGAGUUUUUGUGGGCAUGAAAAAAGAAAGGUGUAAAGAGAGAAAGAGAGACAUGUUGGAGAAGAGAGAGGGGAAGAAAGGUGCCAUGAAUAGUUUUCUUCUCCUGCUUUUCAUGAGAUUUAUGCGGGCUUCAAAAUAUUCAAAUAGUAAUUAUAGGCCAUAGGGCAUAGCCUACAUAACACAAGGAUUUAAAAAAAACUACCACGAAACACUUGUAGGAACAAAUAAAAGAUGGUCAUUUUUGAGGGGCUUUAGAACCAUAUGAGAAUGAUUCUUAACUACUAAAAUCAUGGACUAACAAUAGGAAUAUAAAAUAACUCUAACAAGAGUAAAUUACAAGUUUUCUCCUUCAUGUUUACAUCGUUUUUCAGA